AAAUUGAAGAGUUUGAUCAUGGCUCAGAUUGAACGCUGGCGGCAGGCCUAACACAUGCAAGUCGAACGGUAACAGGAAGCAGCUUGCUGUUUCGCUGACGAGUGGCGGACGGGUGAGUAAUGUCUGGGAAACUGCCUGAUGGAGGGGGAUAACUACUGGAAACGGUAGCUAAUACCGCAUAACGUCGCAAGACCAAAGAGGGGGACCUUCGGGCCUCUUGCCAUCGGAUGUGCCCAGAUGGGAUUAGCUAGUAGGUGGGGUAACGGCUCACCUAGGCGACGAUCCCUAGCUGGUCUGAGAGGAUGACCAGCCACACUGGAACUGAGACACGGUCCAGACUCCUACGGGAGGCAGCAGUGGGGAAUAUUGCACAAUGGGCGCAAGCCUGAUGCAGCCAUGCCGCGUGUAUGAAGAAGGCCUUCGGGUUGUAAAGUACUUUCAGCGGGGAGGAAGGGAGUAAAGUUAAUACCUUUGCUCAUUGACGUUACCCGCAGAAGAAGCACCGGCUAACUCCGUGCCAGCAGCCGCGGUAAUACGGAGGGUGCAAGCGUUAAUCGGAAUUACUGGGCGUAAAGCGCACGCAGGCGGUUUGUUAAGUCAGAUGUGAAAUCCCCGGGCUCAACCUGGGAACUGCAUCUGAUACUGGCAAGCUUGAGUCUCGUAGAGGGGGGUAGAAUUCCAGGUGUAGCGGUGAAAUGCGUAGAGAUCUGGAGGAAUACCGGUGGCGAAGGCGUCCCCCUGGACGAAGACUGACGCUCAGGUGCGAAAGCGUGGGGAGCAAACAGGAUUAGAUACCCUGGUAGUCCACGCCGUAAACGAUGUCGACUUGGAGGUUGUGCCCUUGAGGCGUGGCUUCCGGAGCUAACGCGUUAAGUCGACCGCCUGGGGAGUACGGCCGCAAGGUUAAAACUCAAAUGAAUUGACGGGGGCCCGCACAAGCGGUGGAGCAUGUGGUUUAAUUCGAUGCAACGCGAAGAACCUUACCUGGUCUUGACAUCCACGGAAGUUUUCAGAGAUGAGAAUGUGCCUUCGGGAACCGUGAGACAGGUGCUGCAUGGCUGUCGUCAGCUCGUGUUGUGAAAUGUUGGGUUAAGUCCCGCAACGAGCGCAACCCUUAUCCUUUGUUGCCAGCGGUCCGGCCGGGAACUCAAAGGAGACUGCCAGUGAUAAACUGGAGGAAGGUGGGGAUGACGUCAAGUCAUCAUGGCCCUUACGACCAGGGCUACACACGUGCUACAAUGGCGCAUACAAAGAGAAGCGACCUCGCGAGAGCAAGCGGACCUCAUAAAGUGCGUCGUAGUCCGGAUUGGAGUCUGCAACUCGACUCCAUGAAGUCGGAAUCGCUAGUAAUCGUGGAUCAGAAUGCCACGGUGAAUACGUUCCCGGGCCUUGUACACACCGCCCGUCACACCAUGGGAGUGGGUUGCAAAAGAAGUAGGUAGCUUAACCUUCGGGAGGGCGCUUACCACUUUGUGAUUCAUGACUGGGGUGAAGUCGUAACAAGGUAACCGUAGGGGAACCUGCGGUUGGAUCACCUCCUUA
Molecule: ribosomal RNA, 1542 nt
Filed under: Shigella flexneri
Lineage: Bacteria; Pseudomonadati; Pseudomonadota; Gammaproteobacteria; Enterobacterales; Enterobacteriaceae
Also listed under: 2 other names
Description: bacterial SSU rRNA
Rfam family: Bacterial small subunit ribosomal RNA
Source: RNAcentral